UUGAAAAAAAAAUUAAAAAUGAAAAUUCUUCUGUCUGAUCUCUCUCUCUCUUCUCCCCCUAUUUCCCCCCUCUCUCUCUCUCUCAAAUUCAAUUUCUCUUUUUUUUUUGGUCACUGGCUCACAACAUCGCCGAUCGACAUUGUUGUUGGCUAGCCUCGUCGCCGAUCAGAUGUAUUGAGUGUCAGUUUGAAGCUUUCACUGAGAUUACGAAGGAUCCAAAGCUGCUUCUUAAUCCAUUAUCAUUUUGCCUAUUUCAGUACGAUGUUGCUUGAGCAAUUUGCAAUGUGGUGGAGUCUUUGGUUAAGAAGUGUGAGGAGCCAAAAAUGUUUGACGCAAUCAAAAAGCCUCCUUCUGAGCUUUAUAAGCAUGUCGAAGUAUGUACAUUCUAUCUUUGCUGGAAUAUAUAUUUGUUAUUCUGACCAUGAUUUGUUUUUGAUUUUAUAAUCCUAUUUAUUCUCACAUGAUUUAUAACGGUAACUGUUGUGCAGAAAAUAUUGAGCAUAAGAAUGUGUAUCAUGUGCAGAAUAUUAUUAGCAAUGAGUUAAUGCAGGUCCUUCAGAUCAGGAGCAAAAUACUAAGGAAAAAAUCCAUCACUUUGCUUCAAGAUAAAGUUAUAGACAUUGAGUGAAAAAGGGUACAUUAGCUCUGACGACUAUAAGAGGUCUUUUUGCCCUGUAUGUAGUAUUUACUAUCCAAUGUUGAGGGGAUUAUCCAAAGUAGUAUUAUUUAUUUGCAACUCGAUUGGUAUGUGAUUAUUUCUCUAAUAAUUGCACUUGUUCUAAAUUGAGAUAGUUUAUUUAUAUGCAGUAGUUUUAUGAUUCAGAAGAUCAUGCCAUCAUUUCAGUUCUGUCUCAGUUUCUUUAGAUAGGCUUUCAUUUUUGCCGAGUUCAUGAAUUUUAAAGAAUGUUUUUAAUGCUAUUUAAAAAUGUCAUGUAUCAUAUAAACAUUGCCAUGCUUGUUCAAGAUUGCGUAUCAUAAAGCAUUCUUAGUGGGCUUUCUUUUAUGUUUUCAUCUAGUAUAUUAUUUAUAAGAAUAAUUAUUAUAAUAAUUCAACAUAUAGCAUAUCGAUUUUAUCUUGCUCGUUUUUUUUCAAAACAUAUAGCAUAUAAUCUAAGCUGCUUCUUGAUGUAGUGUUUGAAUAACCUAUUUUGUUUUUGAUAUUUUCUUUCUAUUUAUGUGUUGUUAAGUGCACGUGCAUGGGUUGCUUUUUAUUACCCUAGUGAAAGUCUUUUUGCCUUGUAAUUGAAGAUUUGAUCAUUUUCAUAUGGGGUGGAAAGGAAGGUUGAACAAUAGAUAAAAAUUACCAGUUCUCUGUUAUAUUAAAAGUAAGGUAAGGCACCUCUAAUUUGACUUUUUAUUUUUUUUACUUGGAAGAUAUUCUUACUAUAAAUAAUGUCUAACAAAUUCUAUUGUUUUAAUGAAAAAAAUAUGGAUUAGGAUAUAUAAUUCAUGUGAUAUAUGUUAAGUUGUAAUUUUUGUCAUUAUCUUAUAUAUGUUUCAUGUGAGACAGGCAAUGGAAGCUAUAGGUGUUACUCUUGCAGUAUUGUGCUCAAAUAAUAAGCUUUAUACAUCAGAUGCCUAACAUAUGGUUUUACACUAUGAUAUUAUGAGGACUUGGCGGGGGGAAGUCGCAGGACAUAGUAAAACCAAGUGGCUAGUAGUCCUUAAAAUAAGUCUUUCAGUGUGUGCUCAAAUAUUAAGCUGUAAGAGAACAUGUUGUAGCAAAUCUAGCAGAUUUUGAGAAGGGUGGGGAUGAAGCUAAAGACUUCCGUGAUAAAGCUUAUAAGGAAGCAAAUACUCUUGAGACUUGUAUUUAAUGUGGGUCAUAUGUUUAGAAUAUUAAUAUGAGUUGAGUCUCAGAUUGAUUUUGUUCGUCAAGUCUGGGCCCACGGUCCUUCGAAGCUACAACACUCUUCAAUUCCCAAAUCUGUUUUGGGAAUUUAAUUUGUUGUUAUUGUAUUAUCGGAAAUUUUCUUAAAAAAUAAACAUUUAUUCUACAACUUUGAUAAUUAAAUAAAAUAUAAUUUAAUCUGCA
Long non-coding RNA from Humulus lupulus (European hop), 2035 nucleotides. RefSeq lists it as uncharacterized. The record is from RefSeq and is a predicted model, not a curated record. The transcript is spliced from 4 exons. Lineage: Eukaryota; Viridiplantae; Streptophyta; Magnoliopsida; Rosales; Cannabaceae.